AUUGAACGCUGGCGGCAUGCUUUACACAUGCAAGUCGAACGGUAACAGGUCUUCGGAUGCUGACGAGUGGCGAACGGGUGAGUAAUACAUCGGAACGUGCCUAGUAGUGGGGGAUAACUACUCGAAAGAGUAGCUAAUACCGCAUGAGAUCUACGGAUGAAAGCAGGGGACCUUCGGGCCUUGUGCUACUAGAGCGGCUGAUGGCAGAUUAGGUAGUUGGUGGUGUAAAGGCUUACCAAGCCUGCGAUCUGUAGCUGGUCUGAGAGGACGACCAGCCACACUGGGACUGAGACACGGCCCAGACUCCUACGGGAGGCAGCAGUGGGGAAUUUUGGACAAUGGGCGAAAGCCUGAUCCAGCAAUGCCGCGUGCAGGAUGAAGGCCCUCGGGUUGUAAACUGCUUUUGUACGGAACGAAAAGCCUGGGGCUAAUAUCCCCGGGUCAUGACGGUACCGUAAGAAUAAGCACCGGCUAACUACGUG
This 482-nucleotide ribosomal RNA is filed under the name uncultured bacterium. RNAcentral describes it as "partial 16S ribosomal RNA". It matches the Rfam family "Bacterial small subunit ribosomal RNA", at positions 30 to 507 of the family's 1533-position model. The record is from RNAcentral.